GCUUACGGCCAUACCACCCUGAACACGCCCGAUCUCGUCUGAUCUCGGAAACUAAGCAGGGUCGGGCCUGGUCAGUACUUGGAUGGGAGACCGCCUGGGAAUACCAGGUGCUGUAAGCU
Ribosomal RNA from Mastacembelus armatus (zig-zag eel), 119 nucleotides. NCBI's taxonomy places the organism in Eukaryota, Metazoa, Chordata, Actinopteri, Synbranchiformes, Mastacembelidae. The record is from Ensembl.